Chiloscyllium plagiosum (whitespotted bambooshark) is the source of this 373-nucleotide non-coding RNA. Lineage: Eukaryota; Metazoa; Chordata; Chondrichthyes; Orectolobiformes; Hemiscylliidae. The record is from RefSeq and is a predicted model, not a curated record.
UGCCUCGGUAACAGUAACGUCAUCACAGCGGGCCGAACAUUCCGCCAUUAAAAGGGCUUCAAAAAUGAUCUUCUUUGUUGCCUGUUUACUACCAAGAUGUAUGUUUGGGCUCAGAUGUUUCACAUUGAUAUUGCCACCAUAUGUGACACUUGAUGUGCAAGGGAAUGCCAGCGCAAGGAACAAGGUAAUGGAUACCUUCAUCUGGAAAGGUAUACAGCUAACGAUGCACUACCUUGAUAUCACCAUUCAUCCAAAGGGUUCUGGGAAUUAAACUUAGCUCCAAUCACAAGUGGGAUGUAUACGAUCUGUAAUAAGAAAUAUUACUGCGCUAUUCAUAAAGGCUACAUAACAAAAAGAAUGUUGUCAGUUUCAC